UUAAUUAAAACCAAAAAGAGGUAUAUUAUUGUUAAUAAUAAAAUUGAAUUUAAAUAAUUCUAAUUAAA
This 68-nucleotide transfer RNA is filed under the name Athalia birmanica. RNAcentral describes it as "tRNA-Asn". Lineage: Eukaryota; Metazoa; Arthropoda; Insecta; Hymenoptera; Athaliidae. The record is from RNAcentral.